GAUGAACGCUGGCGGCGUGCCUAAUACAUGCAAGUCGAGCGAACAGACGAGGAGCUUGCUCCUCUGACGUUAGCGGCGGACGGGUGAGUAACACGUGGAUAACCUACCUAUAAGACUGGGAUAACUUCGGGAAACCGGAGCUAAUACCGGAUAAUAUAUUGAACCGCAUGGUUCAAUAGUGAAAGACGGUUUUGCUGUCACUUAUAGAUGGAUCCGCGCCGCAUUAGCUAGUUGGUAAGGUAACGGCUUACCAAGGCAACGAUGCGUAGCCGACCUGAGAGAGUGAUCGGCCACACUGGAACGGAGACACGGUCCAGACUCCUACGGGAGGCAGCAGUAGGGAAUCUGCCGCAAAGGGCGAAAGCCUGACGGAGCAACGCCGCGUGAGUGAUGAAGGUCUUCGGAUCGUAAAACUCUGUUAUUAGGGAAGAACAAAUGUGUAAGUAACUAUGCACGUCUUGACGGUACCUAAUCAGAAAGCCACGGCUAACUACGUG
This 497-nucleotide ribosomal RNA is filed under the name uncultured bacterium. RNAcentral describes it as "partial 16S ribosomal RNA". It matches the Rfam family "Bacterial small subunit ribosomal RNA", at positions 28 to 507 of the family's 1533-position model. The record is from RNAcentral.